Molecule: transfer RNA, 64 nt
Filed under: Laeonereis culveri
Lineage: Eukaryota; Metazoa; Annelida; Polychaeta; Phyllodocida; Nereididae
Description: tRNA-Pro
Source: RNAcentral
CAGAUUAUAAUUUAUUUAAAAUAACAACUUUGGGAGUUGUCAAUCGGAUUUACCCGUAAUCUGA